This 497-nucleotide ribosomal RNA is filed under the name uncultured bacterium. RNAcentral describes it as "partial 16S ribosomal RNA". It matches the Rfam family "Bacterial small subunit ribosomal RNA", at positions 28 to 507 of the family's 1533-position model. The record is from RNAcentral.
GAUGAACGCUGGCGGCGUGCCUAAUACAUGCAAGUCGAGCGAACAGACGAGGAGCUUGCUCCUCUGACGUUAGCGGCGGACGGGUGAGUAACACGUGGAUAACCUACCUAUAAGACUGGGAUAACUUCGGGAAACCGGAGCUAAUACCGGAUAAUAUAUUGAACCGCAUGGUUCAAUAGUGAAAGACGGUUUUGCUGUCACUUAUAGAUGGAUCCGCGCCGCAUUAGCUAGUUGGUAAGGUAACGGCUUACCAAGGCAACGAUGCGUAGCCGACCUGAGAGGGUGAUCGGCCACACUGGAACUGAGACACGGUACAGACUCCUACGGGAGGCAGCAGUAGGGAAUCUUCCGCAAUGGGCGAAAGCCUGACGGAGCAACGCCGCGCGAGUGAUGAAGGUCUUCGGAUCGUAAAACUCUGUUAUUAGGGAAGAACAAAUGUGUAAGUAACUAUGCACGUCUUGACGGUACCUAAUCAGAAAGCCACGGCUAACUACGUG